This 267-nucleotide long non-coding RNA is filed under the name Vitis vinifera (wine grape). RNAcentral describes it as "long non-coding RNA (VVIN_LNC006818)". The record is from RNAcentral. Lineage: Eukaryota; Viridiplantae; Streptophyta; Magnoliopsida; Vitales; Vitaceae.
CGAAGCAGAAAUUCCUUCAAAUUUGAACUCUUUGAACCACCAAUGCUUGUUUUUCACCACCAAUAAUAUUGAAUAAUUUGAGACAAAAUGCAAUAAUCGGAAAUAUUGUGGAAUGAGAGAGAGCUUAAGAGUUGAGAGAAUAGAAAAAAAUUGAGGGUAUUUAAUAUUUAUAGGGAUUUAAAUAUUAGGAUUUAAUUUUUUUUUUUUAAAUUUCAAGACCGUUCAACGGUCAUAAUAUUGAAUUAUGAGUGGCAGGCAUGUUCAACG